ACUGGGUGGUGUACGUCCACGCGGCGCCGGAGGUGGUGAAGGUGAUGGAGGAGGAGCCAACCGUGUUCAGAGCCCCGGUGAGCAGCGACAUAUUCGGGUGAUGGUGUGCGCCGGCGGCCCGGCUGACACAAGUCGGCAUGCCAGAGGGGUGGUAUAUGGAACUAUGGGUUGAUCUUUCCACCUGUACUAUGUACAGUCACGUGCUAGUGUCGCUUGCCGUUGUGGAGAGAUUGAUGUACCUCGGGUAACAACGUGGGGUGGUGCUACAAAUCAACCGACUCGGGUUCGCGGCCGUACGAUCAUCUGUCCUAUGUCUGUUGGAUCAGCAGCAAUGCUAUACAUACAUAAAUUUACAUAGGUUUUAUAAAAAAAUGGAUCUUGAUUGAAGAUUAAGGAGAAUGGGCCCCACCCCCCUUGAAAAUCAGGGGGGAGUGGUUAGUUAGAAAGAAAGAAUCCUAAUCAGCGUGUAACCUUAUGUAACUGUUUGUAUGUCUAGCAUUUUUGGUUGGAUCAGCCAACUCUCUUCUCC
RNAcentral lists this long non-coding RNA (529 nucleotides) under Hordeum vulgare. Its description in RNAcentral is "long non-coding RNA (HVUL_LNC005494)". The record is from RNAcentral. Lineage: Eukaryota; Viridiplantae; Streptophyta; Magnoliopsida; Poales; Poaceae.